This 97-nucleotide small nucleolar RNA is filed under the name Ananas comosus (pineapple). Its description in RNAcentral is "Small nucleolar RNA snoR31". It matches the Rfam family "Small nucleolar RNA snoR31". The record is from Rfam by way of RNAcentral. Lineage: Eukaryota; Viridiplantae; Streptophyta; Magnoliopsida; Poales; Bromeliaceae.
UAGAUGAUGAUGAAGUAAUUUGUACUUUAAUCCAACACUUGAACUGAGGAUUAUUUUGUCCAAGUGAUGUCUCAAAGUCAUUUGCUUCUGAAUCAGG